This 99-nucleotide small nucleolar RNA is filed under the name Agaricus bisporus var. burnettii JB137-S8. RNAcentral's name for it is "Small nucleolar RNA snR60/Z15/Z230/Z193/J17". It matches the Rfam family "Small nucleolar RNA snR60/Z15/Z230/Z193/J17". Rfam says of the family: The members of this family belong to the C/D class of snoRNAs which contain the C (UGAUGA) and D (CUGA) box motifs. Most of the members of the box C/D family function in directing site-specific 2'-O-methylation of substrate RNAs. Lineage: Eukaryota; Fungi; Basidiomycota; Agaricomycetes; Agaricales; Agaricaceae. The record is from Rfam by way of RNAcentral.
CCUAUCUGAUGAUACAAGCGCAAUCGCAUAGUUCACGCUGAAUCAAAAGUGUUGACAAUCAUGCAUCUUUACGUCUUUCGCUCCUAUCUGACUCAUCUC